RNAcentral lists this small RNA (618 nucleotides) under Pongo abelii (Sumatran orangutan). RNAcentral's name for it is "processed transcript". Lineage: Eukaryota; Metazoa; Chordata; Mammalia; Primates; Hominidae. The record is from RNAcentral.
GAGGAACCUGCCCCGAGAACAGAGAAAAGGUAGAAAAGAGAGGAGAUGCUGAUGGCAUCUGGAAACAAGUCUUAGAGAUGGUCUCCACCCGGAGGGGAUAAGGGGAGACAUCCCCAACUGGAAUGUGUCCUGGAGCAGUUGCCUGGGAAGAAGUCCUCGAGUUUCCUCAAGGCCCCACUCCUGGCAGCUGAGUGCUGCACCUGCCUUCUCGAUCACAAGCCUGAGAACUGCAUGGGGGAGCAGCCCAGACUGGCUGGAAACCAUGUUUUCAGAGUGCAGGGUCAAGUGGCGUGUAGGACUCUCUGUCAAAAGAAUGACCCCUUUCCCCACCACAUACCCACAACUGCACAGCCUCUGGACAGAUGUGAGAAGGCACCACCUCAAGAGGGGAGGAGCGGGGCUGAUCCUGGUAGGGCGGACCUGAGUCGGGCAGCCGCUCUCCCGGAACUGGAAGGGAAAGCCAGGCGGCUCUCAUGGGCUGUUGGUGUCUGAGCCGGGCGGGUCGAACGCCCAGGGCACUGCGCCCCGCAACUGCCGCUCCUGCAAGGAAAAGCUCUGGCACGCCGAUGACGUCGCCGGCCUCGUCCAGCUCCAUGUCGCCCUCCGUCGCCAAGAUGC